RNAcentral lists this non-coding RNA (963 nucleotides) under Sauromys petrophilus (Roberts's flat-headed bat). RNAcentral's name for it is "12S ribosomal RNA". It matches the Rfam family "Bacterial small subunit ribosomal RNA". The record is from RNAcentral. Lineage: Eukaryota; Metazoa; Chordata; Mammalia; Chiroptera; Molossidae.
CAUAGGUUUGGUCCUGGCCUUUCUAUUAAUUAUUAGUAAACUUACACAUGCAAGCAUCCCCGCCCCAGUGAGAAUGCCCUCUAAAUCAUAAAAUGAUAAAAAGGAGCAGGUAUCAAGCACACUACUAAGUAGCUCAUAACGCCUUGCUUAACCACACCCCCACGGGAAACAGCAGUGAUAAAAAUUAAGCUAUAAACGAAAGUUUGACUAAGUUAUACUAACACCCAGGGUUGGUAAAUUUCGUGCCAGCCACCGCGGUCAUACGAUUAACCCAAAUUAAUAGAUUUCCGGCGUAAAGUGUGUUUAAGAGAACAGACAAAAUAAAGAUAAAUACUAGUUAAGCUGUAAAAAGCCCCAGCUAUCAUAAAAUAAACAACGAAAGUGACUUUAAAAUAUCUGAAGACACGACAGCUAAGACCCAAACUGGGAUUAGAUACCCCACUAUGCUUAGCCAUAAACUCAAAAAAUUCAACAAACAAAAUUAUUCGCCAGAGUACUACUAGCAAAAGCUUAAAACUCAAAGGACUUGGCGGUGCUUUAUAUCCCUCUAGAGGAGCCUGUUCUGUAAUCGAUAAACCCCGAUAAACCUCACCAACCCUUGCUUAAUUCAGCCUAUAUACCGCCAUCUUCAGCAAACCCUAAAAAGGAAUUACAGUAAGCAUAAGUAUUAGACAUAAAUACGUUAGGUCAAGGUGUAGCUAAUGAGUUGGGAAGAAAUGGGCUACAUUUCCUGCCACAGGAUAAUUUACGAACAUCUCUGUGAAAUCAGAGAUCAAAGGUGGAUUUAGCAGUAAGUCAAGAAUAGAGAGCUUGACUGAAUAAGGCCAUGAAGCACGCACACACCGCCCGUCACCCUCCUCAAAUAUUGCUAAUAAUAUCAAUAAUAUAUAAUCAAAAAACAAGCUUAUAAGAGGAGAUAAGUCGUAACAAGGUAAGCGUACUGGAAAGUGCGCUUGGAUAACU